Hipposideros armiger (great roundleaf bat) is the source of this 2236-nucleotide long non-coding RNA. RefSeq lists it as uncharacterized. The transcript has 4 exons. The record is from RefSeq and is a predicted model, not a curated record. NCBI's taxonomy places the organism in Eukaryota, Metazoa, Chordata, Mammalia, Chiroptera, Hipposideridae.
GCUGCCCCUCCGGACCCGGGACGCGCUGCGCGAGCCCGCCCGCCUGCGUUUUUGUUUGUUUCCAAGUGGCUGGCUCGAGGAGUCUCUGCGACUCGCCCGUGUCCCCCGAUGGCACUUUGUUGGCUCCCCUCCCAACCAUUUUUUUUUUUACUUUCUGCCUCCUUUUCCGAAAGUGCCGUGAGUGCUCCCUUCGGGGCGUGGGUGUUCACACUCCUCGAGUGAAAUGAAGUCGGACAAGGAUGCGAGCUAGGUGCGAUGAAAUACCACGGAGGCUCCCGAGGCAUCCUUUUCCUUAAGUGGGGCCGGGGCGGGGUGGAGCGGGGAGAGGGAGCGAGAGAUGGAGCUCAGGCUGCAGCCUCCUGAGCGCUGCCGCGUGCUCGUCAUGGGUUCCCUGUCUGCCCCCCAGCCCAAUCCCCGCGUAACUGGGCCCCCGGGACCCAGUGGAGCUGGGCCGAACUGCAGCAGCGACCCCAGCGCGCAGAGGGCUCGCUCCACAGGUUUGAGGCACUUAGGACUGCUGCAGAUGUGCCUGGUUUGUGCGCACCCGCUGAGCCCCUGCCCCCACCCAUCUUUUGGAAACAGAAGUCAUCGGCUCUGGCAUCCUGGGUUAAGCCAGCUGCGGCUUCACCUGGUCCCCUGCAGCCUGUGUAUGGCUGACGCACCCAGGCUAGCUCUGGGCUCACAACUCCCCAGACAAGUGUGCCCACCACCUUCAGCAUUGUGGGCCUUUGCCACGCCCCCCUCCCCAUGCCCAAGUCCCAGCAGGGUCCCUGACACAAUUAGGCAGAGUUCAUCGCUCCACCCACGCUUCGCCUCCGGCUUUACACGGAUGGUAAGUCGCUGCAAAAGCUGAGGUGUCUGCACAUGGCCUGGUUUUCCUUAAGCCUGUCAGCGGCCUUGGAGCCUCCCUCCUCCUUGAAAGCCCUGCUCCGAUGCCGAGCUGGCCACGCUUUCCUGCUAUCUCCCUGGCUUCUCAGCCCCUUGAGUGAUCCCUUCUUACCUCCCUGACCUCUGCAUGUGGAAAGCCCCAGGGGACGCAUCCUUGGGCCCGUUCUCUUUUUUUAUAUGCCAUAUCCCCGUUUUUUUGGCUUUGGGUAUCAUAUACAGGUUAAUGUACCUCAAAUUUCUAUCUCCAGCCCAGACCUGACCCCUGAAGAACAAAUUUACAUGUAACUGCCUCCUCAGCAUCUCUUGGAUGCCCCUGGCAGUUUAAACCCGACAUGUCUGGAGCCCCUUCUCACACAACUACCAAGAUGCCCUUGACCGCCAUGUUGUGAGGAAGCCCAAGCCACAGGGACACCCUGCGCGUGAAUAAAACGUCCUGCAGUUCUGGAAGACAGAAGUCGGAGAUGGGUCUCACGAGGCUAAAUUCAAGGUGUCAGCAGGGCUGUGGUCCUUUGGAGGCUGUAGAAGGGAAUCUGUUUCCUGGCCUCUCGAGUUCCUAGAUGCCACUUGCAUUCCUUGGCUCAGGGUAUUUUCCUCCAUUUUCAAAGCCAGCAGCACAGCAUCUUCAAAUCUCUGUGACCCUCCUGCCUCCAUCUUAGAAGGACCCUGUAAUGGCACUGAGCCCACCUGGGUGAUCCCGGAUAAUCUUCCCUUCUCAGGAUCCUUAAUUUAAUCACACCUACAGAAUCCCUUUUGCCAGUUCUUUGCAGGUUUGUAGCCAGAGGUGGGAUUGCUGGACCGGGCAAGUCCUUUGAGCGGCGUGUCAGAGGGACGCUCAGCUCCACCAAGGCACUGCUUUUGGGCUGUGUGAAUGGAUGCUUUGCUAAGCUGUAACCCACCCAGCAAAACGUUCUGGCUAACAAGAAUGCCUUCCCUUCCCGUGUGUGGUUUCCGCCACACUCUGCCCAGAGUGAGAGCGUGCCCUGCAGAGGAGGCCCUGGCACGUGCCCUGCUGGGACCCAGGGCACACUUGGUAUACAGCAUGCUGGCCAACUUUCCGCAUAUGUGCCAGGAACAUAAGACCGCUUUUGGAAAAGGAACAGCAGCCAAUUGUUUGGACUUGGUUCCUUCUUUCCUUAGAACAGAGGUUGUCAAACGGUGUUCCUGGAAGCCACCCCUCACCCCCUAAUCCCACUAGCACUGGGCUGGGGUCUGAGUUCACUGGCUCGCCCACCUCCCCUCCCCCCAUCUUAGCUCCCUUUGCAUAAAAGCUCCCCUUUUCUCUUAAUACAGAGGGUGCCAAAGAAAUGUAUACACAUUUUUAAGAAAGGAAAAAAACUGUAUUAAAAUU